AAAGGACAUAAUAAUAAAACACAAAAAUUGGGCAAAAAUCUUGGCCAAGAGCCAGCACCCAAUGAUUGUCAUGAUUGCUAAUGACACUGUGACUCUCCAAUGUUUCUCUGAGCUUGAGUAGCCCAGGAAUCUCGGAGUGUUGUUUGGCUUAAACUGGAAGUUACUUAGCUGCAGAAGGUUAGUACAUGGAGGGCUGUCAUUUGACAGGGUCUGGAGUGGGAAAGACCCCAUGGAGCCCCUGUUUGAUGAGCUAAAUCCAUCAGUUCUAGUUGGGAAGAGAAAAAAUACGUGUACUAGAACUACAAAAGAGGAAACAAACAUUUCCCAAUACAAAAGAGGGAAUCAACAACAUUCACUAUUGGGCUGGAGGACUUCCCCCUUCACCUGUCAAGGGGCCAGUGUUUCGCUGCAGGAAAGUGAUAAGGGAGAGCCCUUAUCAGUUGGCAACUGAUCCUACAACACCGCUUAGGUGAGAAGGCUGGGACCAAGGUCUGGAGACAAACCCUGCCUUCUUCCCCACCGUGUUUAAGGCCAUCUGUAUGACCCUGUGCCUCGCAGGUGGGAUUUAGUUGUCUUCAGUAGCUUCAAGGACUGUUCUAGAUCUUUCCCAGUUUAAGGCCAGCAAGGCUGCGUGAGAGCAGAAGCAGUUUCCAGGGACUGCCAGGUGUCCAGCUGCUUCUCUGUUUGCUCUUGUGUUAUGUCUACUAGUAACAACGCCUCCUGUGUGUGUUUGUUCCCCUGUAGGUAUGUGAGAUUAUGUCAGCCCUGCACCAGACUCAACCCUGAAAGGACUUUGCAAGGAAAGGGGUCAGUUGACCAGUCCUGACCUACCCCGUGCUAACUUCUGGACAUGGGCUUUUCCUCAUUCCAUCCCAACUAAACAGACGGAAGAAACAUACAAAGAAGGAACUUUCGAGAGCAGCAAAGACUCAAGGAUCAGCCUAUGAAAGUGGGGCUGGGGAAAAACAAAAGCCCGGACCAAGCUCAUGGCGGAAGAGGACAGCUCUGCGAUCCCUGCCCAGGGCAGGCCUUCACCUCUGAUGCCCUUUGCCUCGCAAAAAGUGGUUGGUUGGGACUUCGCUUAUGGUCUUCCAGGAAGGAAGGAGUCAUGUACCUGCAGUAACUGUCAUAGGAAUAAACACACUGGGGCCAGUGUUCUGACACAGGGGGUUAAGUCUCCACUUAACCAUUUGUGGCACCGGCAUCCCCUUAUCCGAGCCCUGGUUCGAGACCCAGCUGCUUUGUUUCUGAUCUGGCUCCCUGGCAUCAGGGAAGGCAACAGAUGAUGGUUCAAGUCCUUGGGCCCCAGCCACCCAUGUGGGAGACUGGGAUGGAGUUCCUGGAUCCUGGCUUCAGCCUGGCCCAGCCCUGGCUGCUGUAGACAUUUGGGGACUUAAUCGGCAGCUGAGAUCUCUCUCACUCUCUGUCUCUCUCGGUAACCCUUCAUCUGCCCCCGGCCCCCAACUCUGCCUUUCAACAAAUAAAUCUUAAAAAAAAAAAAAGCA
RNAcentral lists this long non-coding RNA (1505 nucleotides) under Oryctolagus cuniculus (rabbit). RNAcentral's name for it is "lncRNA (ENSOCUG00000030189.1)". The record is from RNAcentral. Lineage: Eukaryota; Metazoa; Chordata; Mammalia; Lagomorpha; Leporidae.